ACAGAGUGAGUGGUAGUGAAACAUACACACCGGAUCACGGAUCAGCAGCGGAGAAAAGCUGAGUUUUACGUGAGCUGAAGAAACCUUGAUCAGAGUGAGCUGAGAGAGCAGAGGGAAGAAAGGAAGAAGGGGAAAAGAUAGUGCAGCAGUAGCUUUAGCAGGGCAGCCAUGGGAUUCUGUCGUGGGCCUUCCGAUGUCAAGGUGCUCCCAAAGAACACCUCCUGCUUGUCGUCAACGUCCUCCUCAUCGUCAUCGCCUGCUAAAGAUUCGGGCGACGGUGGCAAGAAGAAGCAGCAGCAAGGUGUGAAGAAGGAGCAGGGGAGGGAGAAGAAGAAGAGCAACCUUGAUCGGGCCGCCAUGGCUACGCCCCGCCUCCCCUUCCAUUCUCGACCCGGUCUCAUGUAAUGUUAACCGGGAACAACAAUGCAUGCAUAAGAUCCCGUAUGUUCUCCAAUUAGCUUAUGGCUAAGGUUGGAGCUUGGGUUUAAAUAGCUUCUGUUGUUAGGUUAAAGUUUUGAGAUUUCUACUGUCGUCACUUGUUGUAUUUUUUCAUUGAUUGGUUGGUUGUAUUCCAUGAUUCAAAUUCCUGGUGUUUUCUGUCAAUUUACAAGAGAUUAAGCUCAUUAUCACCAGGAUGCUAUUUGUUUCCCUACUUCCUUCGUUGGAUUACUAUUCCCCUACAUGACUCGCUAGUUUAGGCAAGCAAGACUAAGCCUACAUCACCCUCAAAAAGACUAAGUCUACAUCAACUACGAGCAUCUUUAUUACACCCAGUGGUCAAAACCCAUAUAAAUUUGACUGGUGCACUGGGCACGUUCUCAAAAGUAUGUGUAGCAAGAAUCUGUGACCAAACUGCAAAAUAAAUUAAACCAAACAUUUCCCUAUCAUAAAAGGAGAGAGAAGAAGCAUGGUAAAACGGAAGGAACAACUACCACCACUUUCUAUCCCAAGAAAUAAUUGGUGGGCCUUCAUUCUACUCCAAAUAAAUAAAUUGAUUUUCCUCUUCCCUCAACCAAGACACACGAGCACCGCCUCUCAGCUGAUCUCUUCUUUCUCCUAUCUCCACAUCCUCCCACCCGUCUAAUGCUCCGGCCGGAGGUGGGGAGAACCACAAUUUUGCUUGUUUGAUCCGGAUCUGCAUCGAGACUGAUUCGCAUCUCCUCCAAGCAGACCUCACGCAGAAGGAACCAAGCUUCUCAGCAUAUGCCUCGGCCCUGGACGAUCUGAAGAUCGAGAUGAGGCUAUGGUUCUCAAAGUGUGAUGUUAUUGCAUGUAGGCGGAAGACAACGGUGUUGCGCAUGAGCUCGCUAAGUUAGGAUAUGAAUGUAGUGUGAAUGAACCCACCAUAUAAGGGAUGUCGAUGUACCGCCGUCUGUGGCCGGACUUGUUUUAGGCGACAUGCCUAACCUGGUUGCGUAAUAAAGUGUUUUGCUUUGACCCUAAAAAAAGGUUAGAGCUUGGCGUUGUGGUGUCAUUGUUUCAGGUUUGGUGGCAGUGUUGCGUUGAAUAAUGGUUGUGCCCCAGCUUCAACCCCAUCUCGAUGGUAUGUCGACAUUGUUGAGGAGCCGGUUUUUCAGUGUCAUCGUCAGGCAUGUUCACCGGCCAUGGGUGGUGUUCGUUUUGUUGUUGGCAGGCGGUCUUGGCCUUGUCUUGUGUGCAUGUAAUUCCCACAUGUGAGUGAUCACUGCUGGGUCAUUGUUUAGGGUCUGGUGGCGGUGUUGCGUCAAAUAAUGGUUGUGCCCAGGCUUCAACCCCACCUCGAUGGUAUGUCGACAUUAUUGAGGAGCCGAUGGGUCAGUCUCAUCGUCGGGCAUGUUCACCAGCGUUUGGUGGUGUUAGUUUUGUUGUUGUCAUGCGGUUUUGGCCUUGUCUUGUGUGCAUGUAAUUCCCACAGGCGAGUGAUCACUGCUGGGUUUCGUCGAUUCCACCGGUGACGCUAGCCAGCCUUGACAUUGGUUGGAUGCCUACCAAGACAAUAAUGAGGAGUUUCUCUUUCUAGGUUUGUGUUGGUGCCACACCAUUGUUCUUCUCGGCAUCAUGCUCUCCUCCGACGACCAAGCAGGCAAUGACGAAUACAGUUCGGAAGGAUUUCCUUGCGGAAUUAGAUGUAUUUCCAAGUCCCCACAGGCACAUGGACAACUAUCUUACACGUGGAUAUUUUCUUUGUACUACUCAUUUUUUGUUAAAUAAUAUAAUCCAGAUAUAUUAGAGCAACUGUCGCAGUGUCGCCAUAGGUGAUAUGGAGCGCACUCCAUAUGCAUAUAGUGGACGUGCAUGUUGUGAGCAAACACAGAAUUGCCAUGAUGUGGCCUCCAUAAACUUCAUUUUGUUUCUUCUUUUUUGGUCAUUUUCUUUAAUUUUGCAGGGGGCAAUUUAAGCUCAAAUUAUUAUGAACCAAAUGCAGGUAUCAUGUCGAUAACUUAAUGGCAACUAUAUUCAGUAGCCAAAAUGUUUCCCUUUAAAUAUAAUUAACGACUUGAAAAAUAGUUUGACGUCAUUUUCAAAAUAACCAAUGUUGCUAUUCGAGCGACAUUGCUACCUAGUACGACCUACACUAGUCGGUGGUCGGCAUCUUCUAGUUGUCGCUGUCUUCCUCAUGGUGGCCGUCCUCCUGCACCUCCUCCGAGAGAUCGUCAAAGUAGGGAUAGGGGUCGGGCUCGCGAACGGCGCUGCAAGCUGCCACUACCACUCCUAGUAAGUGCGUGCGUAGCCGAAUACUAGGAGGAUGCACUCCUCGUUCCGAGCUUUGAGGGUGGAAGCCGCAACACGACAUCGAUAUGGUCCUCGGGCUCCGGCGCCGACUUCAAUUGGGCCUAGACUGACUAUGACGUUGUUCAUAUGGACGAGGGGGUCGACGGGAACGACAUCUUCCUCCACACGGACGAGGAGGCUUGAUUCCCGCAGCUGGCAAAUCUGCCCUCGCUGGGGAAGAGGACAAGACGGCUGCCACGGGAAGAGUUCGUGCUGGUGUGCGGCGUCUAGGAUGGGAUCAAAAUAUAUUAACCGUAACAUUUCUCUAUAUAUAUGAUAAAAAAAGGUGAUAGAAGACACAUGGUAAAACCAAACGGCUACCUCCCACGAUCCUUCAAGGGAGAUAAUGAAUUGGCAGGUCUUCAUUCUUCUCCACACGAAGAAAUCAUUUUCCCUAGAAAAUAGAGAAAACGACUGAAAGUCUUUAUCAUUGGGACCUUGCCAACCAAGCAACCUCACCUCUGUAUUGAGUCAUCGGUCAAUGUUGCACGACCACCAGUAUCCUACUAUCAGCUAAGACCAAGAAAAAUUCAACAGGCCAUGGUAGACUGCAAGUACCGACAGCGCCACAACACUACAGACUAACAGGUGGACCAUGAGAGCCCGGGCGCCCACCCGUCAGACACUUGCUGCCACGCGAGGCGCGUAUGCGGCACAUGGGUGUGUCACUGUCGAUGGAAGGCAAAAUCGUUGUCGUUGCGACGGGUGCGGCGCAGGCCACCAUGUGCUCGAAUGUGAGCAGCGAACCUUGCUGGAAGGUCGGAGCUGGCUGUCCUCUCCUAUAAAAUGAUCACCAGGAGCCCGAAAAUGAGUUGCAGAGGCCGGUCUGCAGGCAGCUCUCAAUCCUACCCGCCGAACUAGCAUGGGGAUGUGUGUUGCUAGACGUAUUGCAAUUACAGCUCCAACUUCAAGGUCAUAUAUCACCGUAUUCUAUGAUAGGCCCCAUGCAAGAGGUACUUCCAAUCUGGGCCGAAAGCAGGUGGUUGGCAGUAGGCACAUGCUAGUACAGUGUGAUCAUGUCUUCUUUGCAGAACGACAGGUGUUUUGGUUUGUACUUAAUCAUCGGAUACACUUAAGAUGAUGGAUUAAAGAGAACUUUUAGAAAGGGAAAAACGUUGGAUGGUGCUACUCUGAACGGCGGCACAACAGUUUUUUAGGAAAAUUUUAAGGUGGUCCAGAUCAUUAUGGACCGUUCAAUUUUAAUGAACUAAUGGUUCAUACAACAUGUAAUAGGAGGUAAUAGACCAUUGAUAAUGGGAUGGGGGUUAGACAUUGUUGUGCUAUAAUUAAGGACAUAAAUUAUUAUAAUUUAUUCCCUUUCUUUAAAACCUUGCAUACAUAGCAAAAAAAUAACAGAUCUAAUUAAUGCCAGAUUUUUUGCCAAUUAUUUGUUUAGCUGAUUUUCCCCAACUAUUUUCUUUUGCUGAACGUACCUUAUCAUUAUGUCUAACAAAUGAAAUAAGAAGUUUGUCAAGUUCUGUGAUAUAUGUUUAUGCAUGUUUUAUUUUGUCGGUUGGGAGCUAAACAAUAGAGAAUGCAUAGAAAUUGUUUCUAGACAACACCAAAAAUGAAUACUAGUUUUUUUUCUUUUGCAUGGUAAAUGAAUAAUAAUUGACAAAAUCAUAGCAAAAAGCAGACAAAAUACCAUCAGUAUUUUUCUUUAACAGAGCACCCAUGUGUACCAAUGUUCAUGCACAUUUUAUUUCCUUGAGAAGAGAAUGUAUAACGGACAAAGUUUAGUGUAUUUCUCACACAAUAAAAAUUCAAACACGUUCCUAGCAUGGCAUGUGUACAUCUAAUUUUUACUAACUCUCUCAGAAUAAUGGGAGUACACAUACUGUUUAAUUAUGGUGAUGAUUAUUAGGUUGUAAUCUAGACGAAUUAUAAUAAUGCCAUUUGUAGAUUGUAGUGUAUAUACAAAUAUUUAGGAUUCCAUGGAUAUGUAUCAUAUUUCACAACAUUACACUUAUCCAUCUUUUUUCUGGGGAAUUAUUCAUCUUCAUAUGAUAGAUACAACAUAGAUCGUACGAGGAUUGAAUGUGAUUUUUUAGUAGAUUAAAAUAAAAAGAUAUGAGGGAAAUAUUUUAAUAUUUCCCUUUUGACAAUAAAUUGCCAUAAUAUUAUGUGUGGUCAAAUAUACCUUUUUUUGAGGGAAGGCCAUCAUGGCUAGCUUUAUUGAUUGAAAAUAGGGAUUACAUCGUCCACAAGGUUCGAAACGAGAAAGCCCGGAGGCUCACCCGUCCAACUAAAAGAAAUCUUAUUACAAUAACUGUAGUUAGGUAGCACAUGCGCUGCUUGGUUACAAGAACGUGGGCAGUAUUGAAAUUUGACCUUCCCGAUCAACGAAGAGAGAUCCACACACUCGGCAAAAAUAGCUGCUGCUUCAUCCCACCAUCUAGCUUGGCCAUCACAUGAUUCUAUCACCGUUGUGGAGUCUGAUUCUGCUUCAAUCCGGGGGAAACCAAGUGAAUUUGCAAAAGCCAAUCCAUCUCUCAUCGCAAGGGCCUGGGUGGUAACUACAUUAGCUGCAUGGGGUAUAAAUUUACACUGCGCCGCUAGGAAUGUUCCCUUCUCAUCCCUAAUCACAGCUGCUGUAGCACCCAAACCUUCAUCAACAAAAAAGGCGGCAUCAACAUUUAGUUUGACAAACCUGGGUUCUGGUAUCCUCCAUUUUUCUACGGUAGUAUUCAUCAUCUUCUCAUUAACCUGAUGGUAAUUAUUUGCUAUCGCCAAUACGGACAUCGGCCAUUUAAAAGUAGGAGGAGGCGUUCCAUCGUGAGUGAAUUGCCGACGGAUCCACCAUAGAUACCAGCUCCCCACCACAAUGACUUGCUUGACAUCCAAAUUAGGUUUCAAAGGAGCUGGGCUAGAUCCACCAAGGAGUAAAUGUUCCAGUAUGAUAGAACCCAAACGAUUCACCGACCUAGCUUCGGCAAUUGUUUCCGAGAUGCCUAAUCUGCUCCAGAGUUCCCUUGCGUGAAUACAAUCAAAUAGCAAAUGCUUAAUAUCCUCCGCACCAUGAUGACAGAUUGGACAUGCACCAUUUGUACCUACAUGUCUGUUAGUAAGGAUGGAUUUAAGCGGCAAUAUCCCGUGCAGCGCUCUCCAGCAAAAAUUUUGGAUUUUACGUGGUCAAAUAUACCUUGAUGAAUGGACGGUUCUGACCAAAUAUUUCUCUUAUCUCUUACGGGUAAAAGAACCAUCUUGAAAGAGCUUUGAAAAAAGCACAACUAAUUACUACCUUCAUCCGGGUUUUUUAGUCGCCAUUGUAUUUUGGAUCAAACUUUGAUCACAUGUUUGACUAAUAAAAUAUUAAUGCAUGUCAUAAAAAUAUGUAUCUGAAUUUAUUUUUUAAUAAUAUGACUUUUGCUACUACCUCCGUCUAGGUGAAUAGGUCAUUUAUGUAGUUCUAGGUCAUCGAUUUGAGGAAUUAAAUACGUGUUAUAUGUCAUGAAAAGUAUAUCACUAGAUUUCUACACGGAUGUAGUUUCUAAAUAUAUAUUUUUUGUCACAUAUAAUACAUAUUUAGAUAGUUAAAUCAUCGAUCUAGAACUACCGAAUGACUUAUUCACCGAAACGGGGUAGUACAUAUGAGUUUCAUUUUAUUAGUUAAAGUUAUUGUUAAAUAUGACCCAAAAUGCGAGGGGACUAGUAAACCCGGCCGAAGAUAGUAAUUACUCUGUCCGUCUCAAAAUAUAAGAUUUUUUUGACAUAGUAAGUAGCAAGUUGUACACUACCUUGAGGAUUAGUUUUAUAAAAACAGAGAAAUGCGCGGCGGUACAUUUACAGAAAAUUGCCCAGAAUGAGACAUGGUUGUAGCAUGCAAUGAUGAGGUGGCCGAAUAUAGUAGAAUAUUGAUAUUUUUGUCCUCCGUGAAGGGUGAGCCUUAAUUUCACCGUGUUUGAUUUCGAGCAGUCAUAUCAGUCAUCACAUGCAUCAAACAGUGUUAUCUCAUUCACUGAUAUACGGUUGCACUAUUCGGGCUUCUUUGAUUCAAAGGAUUCUCAAAGAAAUUUUGAAGAAUUCUAAUUCUUAGGAUUUUUUCCUAUGUGGGUUGUUUGAUUCGUAGGAUUGUAAACCGUAGGAAUUUUUUCAUAGGAUUCAUUUGCACUAGAUUUCAUAGGAAAUUUUCCAUCCACUCAAACCUCUUUGAAAGAAUCCUACAUUUUUUUAUGCACAAUCAAACACUCAUACAAUCAUAUAGGAUUCAAGAUGACAUGCCAUUCCAAUCCUACGUUUUUCCUAUUCCUGCAUUUGGGAAAUCCUACGAAUCAAAGAGUCCCUUCAUCUAGAUGUAUAUUGGCUCGUAUACUUUCAAAAGGUCUGACAGAAGUGAAUCACGAGGCCCACACCCACGAAGGGGAUAACGAGCUGUCUGGUGCUCGGCCUCUGCAACGCCGCUCUCACCAGGAGCCCUGUUUUCAACAGAAACACACACACGAAUCACUAGCCGAGGAGAGCAGACGAAACAAAGGAAUUAGAGAAGAAAAGAUCAAACGGUGGUGCGGUAGUAGCUAACAGCGCAGCCAUGGGAUUCUGCAGCGGCCCUUCAGAUGUCCAGGUGCUCCCAAAGAACACCUCAUCCUCAUCGUCGCCGUCUUCCUCGUCAUCGGCUGAUAAAGUUUCCGGCGACAGUGGCAAGAACAAGAAACAACAGGGUAUAAAGAAGGAAGAGAGGAAGGAGAAGAAAAGGAGCAAUCUUGACCGGGCUGCGCUCACGACGCCCCACUUCCCUUUUCAUUCUCGCCCCGGUCUUCUGUAACAAUAGAUUAACGGAGAAUUACAGGUGUAUUUCAUUCUCGCCCCGGACUGCGCGCACGUACCAUCCUGUAGGUUUUCCUAUUAGCCUGUGAUUUAUUCAUUGAUGGGUUGGUUGUAUUUUUUUUUGAGGGGUGGGUUGGUUGUAUUUGAUGAUCCGAAUUACAGGUGUUUCUUUUUAAAAUAUAGAGAUUAUGUUCAUUGUUAUUGGGAUUAUUAAUUUUUAUUGUUGGAUUGUUAUUCUCCUGGCUUGACUUAAUUCUUUGGGGAACGCGAGCAAAGAUAAGCCUACAUCACUUGUGUGCACCACUUUUUUUAUCCGGUGGCCAAAACUUACAUAGGUUCGGCCUACUGGGUAUGUUCACCUAAAAAAAAGUAUGUGCAGUGAGGAUCUUCGGCCUAGCUGAUCAAAAUUCACUAAAUCAAACAUUUCUCUAUCACAAAAGUUAAUAGAAGUAGCAUGGUAAACCAAACAAACAGCUUGCACCCACUUUCGAUUCCAGGGCAUAAUCGGCAGGUUUCAUUCUACUCCACAUUAUAAACAAAUCAAUUUUUUCCUUUUCCCUCAACCAAGACACGACCGGAGCCUCCUAGAUACGUCAUUUCUAUAGAUAUUCAGCUCUUCCGUCCCACGAGGCCGGUGGUCCCAUCCUCUUCAUAUGCUACUUUGGUGGCGGGAGGUGGGGACCCCGGUUUUGUAGUGUGUUCGGCAUGUAGCUAGGAUUAGAGUUUGGUGUUUGUGACGACGCCAUUUAGAUGGACGAGGAGUUGUGGCAUCGAAAAAUGGUGGUGCCCCGACUUCAACCCCGUCUCGCCACUUCGAGGGGCUGAUGGGUUAGUGCCCUCGUCAGGCAUGUGUUGAAGUAUUGUGUGGAGUUGAUUUGGUCGUCCACUUGUGGUCGUGGACUUGUCUUGUGUGCAGUUAGUUUGCACAAUGGGAGAUCACGGGCAGAGUCGCUACCUGGCCGUGAUAUUGGUUCCGCGACAACAACCAUGAGUUUCCCUCUAUUGUUCUAAGUGUGACACAAUUGUUGUUCUUCUUCUUCUUGUCAUCGUGCUCCUCCGACAACCAAGCAAGCGACGGCAAAUUCAAUUCGGACGGAUUUUAUUGUGGAGCUAGACAUAUUUCUAAGUCUCCUCCAGCAUAUUAUGAAAAGUUGGGACAACUAUCCUACGUGCGGCAGGGCAUGGUGAGCGAUCCUCAAAUGAUUCAAACUAUCCUAUGUGUGGGUGGUUUUUUACACCUUUUGUUAAAUAAUACAAUUGAGAUAUUAUCUAUACCAAUAUAAAAAUAUUCAAAGGGGCAGAUCCAACUAAUCUUGGCCAUCAAACUAAGUCAAUCCAACGACCUAGACUGCUCCAAUGUCGAGCGUUCAAUGUGUUUAACGUGCAAUUAAUAUCAUAUCAAAUAUUUCACUAAUCACAAAAUUAACACACAAGUACCUAAUAUGUGCGUGCAAUUAAUAUAUUGCCUAAAUAUUAACGUGCAUUGCACGUGCGCAUUUACUAGUUACACAAAAAUCCCAUCUUCUCCCGAACGUAGAAACAAAUGGAAGUUUGUAACCAAAGAACCUUGCCGGCCAAGGAAGCUCAUCUCUGGGCUGAGUCACCGGUCAACGCUCCAUGAUCGACAUUAUCCUAUUCUAUCAACAAGGCUACGGAAAAUUCAACAAGCCAUGAUGCACAGACCCUACUUACUGACAAGUGGACAAGAAGUGUCCCUAGGCCCACCUGUCAAUACCUGACUGCUUCGUGGUGUGCGUACGUGACAUUUUUUUAAGGUUGGUGCGUGCGUCACUGCCGAUGAAAGGAGAGAGAGGCCGUCGUGGUUGCAAUGGGUGCAGGUGCCAGCGAACAUGUGCUCGAGCUCGAAUGAAGCAAAAUAUAUAUAAUACUGUGAUUUUUAAAUUAUAGAGAGCGUAGAAACCUUCCACUGGAAGUUUGCAUCGAGCCACUCUUUUCCACUAUAAAAAUCCACUAUAAAAACAGGUCGAUGGGAGCAUAUCGUUUGCCAACAUAAACACACACGGAUAAGUUAGCAAAGAGCAGAGUUACCUCAGAGACAAAGGAAGAAGAGAGGCGAGGUAGCUAGCUUCAGACAUGGGGUUCUGCUGUGGGCCUUCGGAUGUCCAGGUGCUCCCCGAGAACACGUCCUCCUCCUCUCCCUCCUCCUCCUCGUUUGUUAAAGAUUCCGGUGAUGGCGGCAAGAAGAAACAGCAGCAAGUUAUAAAGAAGGAACAGGGGAAGGAGAAGAAGAUGAGCAACCUUGACCGGGCCGCCCUCACAACACCCCGCCUCCCCUUCCAUUCUCGACCCGGUCUAAUGUGACAGAUUAGCCGAGAACCAGUGUAUUUCAUAGAAAUAUAUGAUCUUGUGUGUUCUCCUAUUAGCCUACGUCUGAGUCUGUAACUUAGGAUGUAUAGCUCCAUUGUCCCGUUGAAGUUUCGAGGUUUGCAGUGUGGCCACGUGUUCUAUUUAUUCAUUGAUGGGUUGGCUGUAUCAGAAUAUCCAAAUUGCAGGUGUGUUAUAAUAGAGAUUUUGUCCAUUGUCCAUCAGGACAAUAUAUUUUUCCCUACAUAUUUUGUUUGUUGGAUUAUCAUUCCCCUUGCUUGACUUAAUUCACCAGCUCAAACGAGCAAAGCUUAGCUUAUUUCUUCCUCCUGCUGAAGGUGGGGAUGUGAUCAAGAACCAGGCAAAGGCAAACAAAAUGUUACAUCCAAAAAUAGUAGAGAAGUCAAAAUGAAAACAUUAUACUUGGGGAAGUGCACUGAUACAACCGAACAGUUCUGCUUUAUUAACUUGAACAUGACUAAAUGAAGUAGAAACAAAUAUUGUGACACAUAUUUAGAUAGGGAAUGUGCACUAUUUUGGGCCAUAUUGAACUGCAGAAAUGAUAUGCUCUUUAGUAGAAAAAAUUUCACCAACUUUUUGUAGGUUAUUUACAGGGCCACUGCAUGGAUCCGUACGUGGUCGUUACUCACUCAUGCGGACUUCGAGGAGCUUUUGCCUACUAGGUGCAACCGCAGCUGGGAGAUGGUAGCACGGAUUAUCUUCAACCAAUUUGGAUGGCAAACUAAUAAUUAAUAGGCUAGGUGUUUAGUCAUUGUAGCCUAUUCUUUCACCGGCUGUGGCAUUUUCUAUUUUAUUUUGAUUUGGCUACUUUUGUGAGCCAAUACUGGACCUCAUAUUUUGUAUUCUACUUUCGUUAGAUAAUAUGGCUGCAUGCAUCACUUUGAUGUAUAGGCCGGGAGCUAUCCUCCUUUUCAAAAAAAAACUUGAACAUGACAUGGACAAAGCCAAAAAAGGAAUGGCCGACGAUUUUUUUUCCUUGAUUGGGGAUUGAUUGAUGGUUAGGUGGAUAUCACCACUAGGAAAAACGCUACCAGUAGCGUAGGUUUUUUGCAUACCAGUAGCGCGGGGUACCGCGCUACUGCUACGACGCUACAUCUAUUUUUUAGCGGUAGCGCGUUUUUUACCCCACGCUACAGCUAAAAAGUUAGUAGUAGCGCGUGCAACCCACGCUACUACUAUUCUGCACCUACGCUACUACUCUCUAAUUACUAGUAGCACACCAUUUUGCCCCAUGCUACUGCUAAUUAAUUAGAAAAUAAAAAAAUAAAAAUUAGAUGCAAUAUUCAUGGAUGGAAAUCAAGACACGUCUAGUGCAAAGGUCCCAUAACCAUCUUAGCAAUUGCAACGUUCAUGGAUGUAACAUUGAACAUCUCAACUCAAAGAGAUCAUGAGAUCCCAUUUAACAUCAGACGCGAAUAACCAGACCACUUCUCUAGAUGUAUCUGCCAAAGCCUCGGAGUUCAAACUCCGAUGGACCCGAACCCUCCCUCCCCCUGGAGGGUGGCGUUGGCGUCGAGGUCCUCCACCUUGGCGACCUCCAGCGUCGCAAUCACCUGGACGAUCAUCUGCGCGACGCAGUCUCCGGGCUUCACGACGAAGUCCGCCUCUGAGGGGUUGAAGAGCACGGCACCCACUGGGAUGUGGUAGUCCUGUGUUAUCUCUCCGGCUUGAAGAGCGUUUCCGGUGGCGUGGAGGUAGUCUUGUGUUACCUCUCCUGCUUGGUCGCCGUACCUACAAAAAGGAGAAGAAAUAUCAACGAUCCAAUCAACCGGCGGCAUCAAACGAUCAUGACUGCGCAAAAGAUUUUGGUUAUGACUAGUUGUUGUUGAACCAAAAACAUUUGAUGUUUUGAAAGCAUGGAUGCAAUGCAGUGUUUGUACAUUACAUGCGUUACAACUGAAGUUGUGACAACUGAUGAUGUUUGCAUCACGUUCUUGACCGAUACCUCAACAGCAUCACAUACUUUACGUGAACCAUUGAGCAAGUAAGGGACAACUAAUAAUAAUAUAUGAUGCAGCAACGGUUACGCAUAUCAAAUCUCUUGAACUAAUACAAAUAUAGUUCUGAUCACACAUUAGCUCUUAGAACUGUUUGACUUUUAUUUACAUUCAGGCAUCUUAACCCAGUGUACUCAAUAAUAGCAGUACACUAAAUACUUGGGAUUUGCUUGUGGAGGCCCAGUAAAACAUAAAAUCCAAAUCACAGCAUAUGAUUUCAUCUUAUCUGGUGGUUUGGUAAUGCGACUAUUAAUCUGAUCCAUCUUUGGAUCAAUAAAUUCCAUUUUUUUCGGAACAGAAUCACGAACUACCUAGACCAACUCAAAAGUUCAGAAAUUAUUGGCAGCUCUAAGAACUGUUUGACUUAAGUUAUGGCAACUUAACCCGGUGCACUCUAUAAUAGUACACUUAAUACCUGGGAUUUGCUUGGGAAGGCCCAAUUCUCAACGUAAAAAAAAUGUUUGGUAUUCUUCCUCAAACAUGAACAAAAUAAAAUUGUUUGGCUGAAAUAGAGUAAUCACGGAGUUUGAUCAGAAGUAUAUGAACAGUAGCACUAGUUUGUGGUGUUCACAAAUGAUUCAUUCUGAAAAUCUGUUCUCAUCAGAGAAGCAAAACUUUCCCGUAUACAAGAACAUAAAACCAUACUGAAGAGAUUACUUUUUAGUGAGCAUCCAUAUGUAGCAACUAGUCAAUAAGCAUUUAUGCUAAAAAAGCAAGCAACCACUAGAUUAAAAGAAACAGUUUAACAUGAGCACACUUAGCAACCACUAACUUAACAUUUUCCUCAAAUACUGCAUUUUAUUAAAUUGUUGUGGACAACCUAAAAACACAUUGAGAUUGUUAGCAGUGAUUAUAAUGAUUCCACCAAAAGCAUUAAAACAGAGAUCAUGAGAAGCAGCGGAUACCCAAGUUUCGAGCGCAUGCAUGCAUUGCCAAAAGACCUUGAAUGGACCUGGAUCUGUCUUGAACUGAUUCCCUUCAAAGGCAGCCUGCAAAUAAAUAAUAAGCAGACCAAAAUAUGUUCAUUUCAGACUUGGAAUUCACAUGAUGAAACACGGAGCCAAUGUCUGCCAUUUGUUGGAAGAGAUCCUGAACUCCACACCAGUCCAACUUAUGGCAAUUUAUAUCCUACACAAGCAUUUUAUUUCAUGAUAUCUCCAAAGUGGCCAGGUCAGCUACUACCAGUUUCAGAUAGUCCAUUGGUCAUUUCUAAUUGUGUUUUGGGGAUUCAACAUGCCACCGCCAUCACCAGCUUGAAAGCAGUAACCGCGGCAGAGGUAGGAUAGGAAUCAUCCUGGUUACGUGUUAUCGAACCACGCUGUUUACUUUGUGGCAGGCAACACUCUGUGCUUAACAUUUCUGAAUCACAUCUAAAGAGUUGGGAGUCUGACAGUAAAUUAACUAAACAUUCUGAUGACCCCCCCCCUCAUACUAGUAUAGUACAGGAGCUAAACUAGGCAUAAAACAACCAAAUGCCUAAUUGCAGGUGGUCACUAGUAUAGUACAGGAUCAUCUUUGCACCAGCGAUUUUAUAGAUAUCAUCUACACAUACAUGCCAGCUGAAGACCAGCAGUUGGUACCAAUCAGAGAGGGAGGGUAAGUGUCUAGGGAGGAGGAGACCUGAACUGAACGAAAUAUGCCCUAGAGGCAAUAAUAAAGUUAUUAUUUAUUUCCUUAUUUCAUGAUAAAUGUUUAUUAUUCAUGCUAGAAUUGUGUUAACCGGAAACAUAAUACAUGUGUUAGUACAUAGACAAACAAAGUGUCACUAGUAUGCCUCUACAUGACUAGCUCGUUGAUCAAAGAUGGUUAUGUUUCCUAGCCAUAGACAUGAGUUGUCAUUUGAUUAACGGGGUCACAUCAUUAGGAGAAUGAUGUGAUUGACUUGACCCAUUCCGUUAGCUUAGCACUUGAUUGUUUAGUAUGUUGCUAUUGCUUUCUUCAUGACUUAUACAUGUUCCUAUGACUAUGAGAUUAUGCAACUCCCGUUUACCGGAGGAGCACUUUGUGUGCUACCAAACGUCACAACGUAACUGGGUGAUUAUAAAGGUGCUCUACAGGUGUCUCCGAAGGUACUUGUUGGGUUGGCGUAUUUCGAGAUUAGGAUUUGUCAAUCCGAUUGUCGGAGAGGUAUCUCUGGGCCCACUCGGUAAUGCACAUCACUAUAAGCCUUGCAAGCAUUGCAACUAAUGAGUUAGUUGCGGGAUGAUGUAUUACGGAAGGAGUAAACAGACUUGCCGGUAACGAGAUUGAACUAGGUAUUGAGAUACCAACGAUCAAAUCUCGGGCAAGUAACAUACCGAUGACAAAGCGAACAACGUAUGUUGUUAUGCGGUCUGACCGAUAAAGAUCUUCGUAGAAUAUGUGGGAGCCAAUAUGAGCAUCCAGGUUCCGCUAUUGGUUAUUGACCGGAGACGUGUCUCGGUCAUGUCUACAUAAUUCUCGAACCCGUAGGGUCCGCACGCUUAAAGUUUCGAUGACAGUUAUAUUAUGAGUUUAUGUGUUUUGAUGUANNNNNNNNNNNNNNNNNNNNNNNNNNNNNNNNNNNNNNNNNNNNNNNNNNNNNNNNNNNNNNNNNNNNNNNNNNNNNNNNNNNNNNNNNNNNNNNNNNNNAGGAUCAUCUUUGCACCAGCGAUUUUAUAGAUAUCAUCUACACAUACAUGCCAGCUGAAGACCAGCAGUUGGUACCAAUCAGAGAGGGAGGGUAAGUGUCUAGGGAGGAGGAGACCUGAACUGAACGAAAUAUGCCCUAGAGGCAAUAAUAAAGUUAUUAUUUAUUUCCUUAUUUCAUGAUAAAUGUUUAUUAUUCAUGCUAGAAUUGUGUUAACCGGAAACAUAAUACAUGUGUUAGUACAUAGACAAACAAAGUGUCACUAGUAUGCCUCUACAUGACUAGCUCGUUGAUCAAAGAUGGUUAUGUUUCCUAGCCAUAGACAUGAGUUGUCAUUUGAUUAACGGGGUCACAUCAUUAGGAGAAUGAUGUGAUUGACUUGACCCAUUCCGUUAGCUUAGCACUUGAUUGUUUAGUAUGUUGCUAUUGCUUUCUUCAUGACUUAUACAUGUUCCUAUGACUAUGAGAUUAUGCAACUCCCGUUUACCGGAGGAGCACUUUGUGUGCUACCAAACGUCACAACGUAACUGGGUGAUUAUAAAGGUGCUCUACAGGUGUCUCCGAAGGUACUUGUUGGGUUGGCGUAUUUCGAGAUUAGGAUUUGUCAAUCCGAUUGUCGGAGAGGUAUCUCUGGGCCCACUCGGUAAUGCACAUCACUAUAAGCCUUGCAAGCAUUGCAACUAAUGAGUUAGUUGCGGGAUGAUGUAUUACGGAAGGAGUAAACAGACUUGCCGGUAACGAGAUUGAACUAGGUAUUGAGAUACCAACGAUCAAAUCUCGGGCAAGUAACAUACCGAUGACAAAGCGAACAACGUAUGUUGUUAUGCGGUCUGACCGAUAAAGAUCUUCGUAGAAUAUGUGGGAGCCAAUAUGAGCAUCCAGGUUCCGCUAUUGGUUAUUGACCGGAGACGUGUCUCGGUCAUGUCUACAUAAUUCUCGAACCCGUAGGGUCCGCACGCUUAAAGUUUCGAUGACAGUUAUAUUAUGAGUUUAUGUGUUUUGAUGUACCGAAGGUAGUUCGGAGUCCCGGAUGAGAUCGGGGACAUGAGUCUCGAAAUGGUCGAGACGUAAAGAUCGAUAUAUUGGACGACUAUAUUCGGACAUCGGAAAGGUUCCGAGUGAUUCGGGUAUUUUUGGGGGUACCGGAGAGUUACGGGAAUUCGUAUUGGGCCUUAAUGGGCCAUACGGGAAAGGAGAAAAAGACCUCAAAGGGUGGCCGCACGCCUCCCCAUGGAUUGGUCCGAAUUGGACUAGGGAGGGGGGCACCCCCUUCCUUCCUUCUCUUUUUUCCUUCCCUUCUCCUACUACAACAAGGACAGGAGGAAUCCUACUCCCGGUAGGAGUAGGACUCCCCCCUUGGCGCGCCCUCCUUGGCGGGCCGCCUCUCCCCCCUUGCUCCUUUGUAUACGGGGGCAGGGGGCACCUCUAGAGACAAAACAAUUAAUUGUUUGAUCUUUUAGCCGUGUGUGGUGCCCCCCUCCACCAUAGUACACCUCGAUAAUACUGUAGCGGUGCUUAGGCGAAGCCCUGCGUCGGUAGAACAUCAUCAUCGUCACCACGCCGUCGUGCUGACGAAACACUCCCUCAACACUCGGCUGGAUUAGAGUUCGAGGGACGUCAUCGUGCUGAACGUGUGCUGAACUCGGAGGUGCCGUGCGUUCGGUACUUGAUCGGUCGGAUCGUGAAAACAUACGACUACAUCAACCGCGUUGUGCUAACGCUUCCGCUUUCGGUCUACGAGGGUACGUGGACAAUGAUGAAGUUAUGUACCUAGGGUAGGGUCAUGGACCUGUCCAAGAUACCCUCCCCAAGGACAUCUCCAAAAGAACCAGAAACAUUCGAAGAAGAAUCAUCGUCCACUCGACCAUGAAGCUAUGUUCCACUCGACAGCCUUGAAGACACUCGACCACGUAGACAGUCACUCGACUACCGGGAGAUCUAAAGCCACUCUGCUCUACAACGGUCGGGAAUUAAGUCAUAGCUUUAAUGGUCAUUAUGUAUCUUUAUUACUGGCGUUACCAGUAACGCCCUCCUCUUAAUGUACAUUGAACCUUGUGUAACAGAGGGGAGUUGGGGUCCUGGCGCACUCUAUAUAAGCCACCCCCUCCUCUGGGACAAGGGUUCGCACCCCGUGUGACUCACACGCUCAUAAUCCAGUCGACCGCCUCCGGGCUCCGAGACGUAGGGCUAUUACUUCCUCCGAGAAGGGCCCGAACUCGUAAAACUUGCGUGUACAACUCCUCCAUAGCUAGGAUCUUGCCUCUACAUUCCUACCCCCCAUUCUACUGUCAGACUUAGAACCACGACAGUUGGCGCCCACCGUGGGGCGGAUGUCUUAGUGACUUGUUGGAGAAGUUGCGAUUUUUCCGAUCUCCUUCAUCAUGGUUUCAGGCGGAGGUUUGGCUGAGCGCCGCGAGAUCCGUCUCGGCGCGCUCGUGUUUGUCGCCGACGACUCCGCUUGGCUUCAGGAGGCUCCACUCGACGUCGAUGCACUCCCCGUCCGCGGGGCAACACACUUUCGCGCGUGCGUCCGUGGCGUCCUCCUGCGGCAGCCUUCGACCCAGUAUCGGUCGGCUCCUAUAGCUUCCUCCCUCUCUGUCACUCGCCGGCGCAAGCGUUCCGUUCGCUCAAGGCUUCAGCGAUGGGUGAGGCAUGCGGUGGCUCGCCAAUCGGCCACCCCUCAAGUCGCGGUGAUUGAGCCCGACGAAAUUCUCUACGGCCUGUUCGACCUGUCGACUGGCUCCACAGAGACUGCAUCCGAGUGCGACAGCAGUGAUCCCGCGGCGGAGGUCUUGAUGGUCGAUGGACCUCGCAGUCCUCCCAGCUUCCCUCGCGCCGACGGAGGCGAUGACAGAGGCGAUCCGUUGCAUGCCCAUGAGGAGUACCUCCCCGAGCCCCUCUCUUCGCAGCAGAGGGAAGAACUUCGCCGCCGGAACAUGGAUGCACUUCACACUCCUAUCGUUGGAGAAACCCCUGAGGCCGGGGCCUUGGAGGACACUUGCCUAACCAACCUGGCUGAGCGCACUCGACUGGAGAACCUCCAGCACGUACUCGACGAGCGUGCGUGUCAACGGGUUCCAGAAUCCAGUCAACAUCAACUUUUUCCACCUCCGACUCAGAUAUAUCGAACUCCGAUUCAGAAUCUUACAGCUGCAGCUCGAAUAGCAGAGUCAAUUCAGCCCUCCCAGUCAGAAGCUGACAGAGGUCUGAUGCAGAUCAGAGCUUUACUCCCGGCAGCGGGAGAACAGAAUACAGCUAUGUCACAGUCGCGGAAUAGGAUCCAUAGCAGGUCCGUUAUGGUAGAUACAGUCCAGUCGGCUCACAGCCCAAGAUCGCCCCCGAGGCGUGAGGGACGUGAAGACCGGCGUGAUCAGUACAGAAAUCAUGAGCAGUAUGAUCACCGACUCGGUCAUGACGAUCAUCGUCGAGUGCCCACACCUUCCCCAAGGAGUGGGUCGUACGUGCCUCGGCAGCAUGAUGACAGACGCCCUCACACUGUUGGGCGAAGAAUUCCAGUCGACCCCAGGGAGCCAGGCUUUGAUGCGAGAUCUAUUCUUGUUCAGGGUUUGGUCGACAGAAACAGAGCUCACUGGGAAGGUCAUGAUAGGGAUUUACCAACCAGCAGCAGAGUGCAUAUCUCAGGUCCAGAGUGCUUCAGCAGAGCCAUCAGGGCCACAGUGAUUCCUCCCAACUUUAGGUUGGCGACUGGAGUCAGUAAGUUCACUGGUGAGUCCAAGCCUGACACUUGGCUUGAGGACUACCGAGUGGCUGUUCAGAUUGGCGGCGACAAUGAUGAGGUGGCCAUGAAACACCUUCCUCUGAUGUUGGAGGGCUCGGCCAGAGCAUGGUUGAAUCAAUUAGCACCCAGCAGCAUUUACAGUUGGGAAGAUCUUGCGUGGGUGUUUGUCAGAACAUUUGAAGGAACAUGCAAGCGGCCAGCAGGGUUGACAGAGCUGCAAUCUUGUGUGCAGAAGCCGAAUGAAACUUUGAGGGAUUAUAUCCAGAGAUGGAUCAUGUUGCAUCACACGUUCAAGAAUGUGUCUGAUCACCAAGCAGUUUGUGCCUUCAAAGAAGGCGUCAAGUACCGAGAGUUGAAUCUGAAGUUUGGUCGGACCGGAGAUAUGUCUCUGAGUCGAAUGAUGGAGAUUGCCACCAAGUAUGCCAAUGGUGAAGAGGAGGAUCGGCUCCGGAGUGGCAAACACAAAACAGUCGCCCACGAAACCGGAGGAGGAAACUCCAGUCAGAAGCAGAAGCGCAAAGCUGAGCCAGCUGCUCCUGGAGAAACCUUAGCCAUCACUGAAGGAAAAUCCAAAGGGAAGCCAAAAGGGCCAUGGAACCCUAAGAAAAUAAAAGACCAAGAUGGAAAUGAUGUGCUAGAUUUGCCGUGCCACAUCCACACAAAGAAAGAUGAAGAGGGUAAAAUCAUUUACCCGAAGCAUACCACUCGACAGUGUCGGCUCCUAAUCCAGCAGUUCCAAGAGAAACAGCCCAAGGAGAAGGAAAAUGAGUCUGACAAGGUUGAGGACAAGGAGGAAAGUGAUGAUGGUUACCAUCACGUCAAUUCCACUCUGAUGAUUUUUGCUGAUGUUGAGAGCAAGAGUCGACUGAAAGUCAUCAACAGAGAAGUGAACACGGUCGCUCCGGCGACGCCCAGUUAUUUGAAAUGGUCUCAGACUGCUAUCACAUUCGAGCAGUCCGAUCACCCGAUGCACAUAGCCACCCCUGGGAGGCAAGCAUUGGUGGUCGACCCAGUUGUCGAAGGCACUCGACUGACCAAAGUUUUGAUGGAUGGUGGCAGUGGCCUGAAUAUUCUGUAUGCAGAGACGCUGAAAGGGAUGGGCAUUCCGAUGUCCAGACUCAGUGAAAGCAAUAUGAGUUUCCAUGGAGUCAUUCCAGGCAAGAAGGCUGAGUCACUCGGCCAGAUUGCUCUUGAUGUAGUUUUCGGUGAUUCCAAGAAUUACCGCAAAGAAAAGUUGACAUUUGAAGUUGUGGAUUUCCAGAGUGCUUAUCACGCUAUUUUGGGCAGGCCAGCUUAUGCACGUUUUAUGGCUCGACCAUGCUAUGUGUACCUCAAAUUGAAGAUGCCUGGUCCUAAGGGUGUGAUCACUAUCACUGGUAAUAGAAAGAAGGAAGAAGAAUGCUUCCAGAAAGGCUCGAAGAUCGCCGAUGCGCAGAUGGCAGUAGUAGAAUUGCAGGAGUAUCAGAAAAAUGCAGAUCCGAGUGAUUUGCUGCGGGCUAAGAAGCCUGCCACGGAUUCAUCAUUUCAGUCGUCCGUUGAAACGAAACCGAUUCAUAUUCACCCGACUGAUCCCAAUGCUGCUCCGACUCACAUUUCAACAACACUUGACUCCAAAUAGGAAGAAGCGCUCACCCAGUUCCUCCGUGAGAACUGAUACAUCUUUGCAUGGAAACCCUCUGACAUGCCAGGUGUUCCCAGGGGACUGGCUGAGCAUCGUUUGCGAGUUGACCCAAAAGUGAAACCGGUCAAAGAACAUCUUCGACGGCCCGCCAUACAGAAGAGAAAAUAAAUAGGUGAAGAAGUAGCUCGGCUUCUGGCAGCUGAGUUUAUUCGAAAGAUUUACCACUCCGAGUGGUUAGCUAAUGUUGGCAUGGUCCCUAAGAAGGAUGACUCACUUCGUAUGUGCAUCGACUUCAAGCAUAUCAAUCGGGCCUGCCCGAAGGAUCAGUUUCCUCUCCCUCGCAUCGAUCAAAUAGUCAAUUCGAAUGCGAGGUGUGAGCGUUUAUCCUUUUUGUACGCUUAUUCCGGGUAUCAUCAGAUCCGUCUGUAUGGACCCGAUGAGAUUAAAACAGCUUUCAUCACCCCCAUUCGGGUGCUUCUGUUAUGUCACUAUGCCAUUCGGCCUGAAGAACGCUGGAGCCACAUUCAUGCGGAUGAUUCAGAAGUGUUUACUCACUCAAAUCAGUCGGAAUGUGGAAGCGUACAUGGAUGAUAUUGUGGUCAAGUCACGUAAAGGUUCCGACCUACUGGCUGACCUUGCUGAAACCUUUGCCAACCUCAGAAGGUAUGAUAUCAAGCUUAAUCCAUCGAAGUGCAUGUUCGGAGUUCCAUGAGGGAAAUUACUCGGUUUUCUCGUUUCCAAACGAGGAAUCGACGCUAACCCCGAGAAAGUCGGUGCCCAACUCCGGAUGAAACGCCCUAUGCGUGUGCAUUAUGUCCAGAAGCUUACUGGUUGUUUGGCCGCCCUAAGUCGAUUCAUUUCUCGACUCGGUGAGAAGGCACUGCCUCUCUACCGACUGAUGAAGAAGUAAGAUAAGUUCAAGUGGACUCCUGAAGCUGAUGCAGCAUUUGCAGAGCUAAAAGCCCUGCUUUCCACCCAGCCGGUGCUUGCUGCCCCAAUCAGCAAAGAGCCUUUACUGCUUUAUAUUGCAGCCACUGGACAAGUCUUCAGUACAAUACUUACGAUCGAACGAGAAGAAGAGGGAAAAGCCUAUAAAGUUCAGCGCCUGGUCUAUUAUGUUUCUGAAGUUCUGACUCCGUCAAAGCAGAGAUAUCCACACUAUCAGAAGCUUGUUUAUGGGAUUUACAUGACCACGAAGAAGGUUGCACACUAUUUCUCUGAGCACUCCAUUACAGUCAUCAGCAACGCUCCAUUGUCGGAGAUUCUACACAACAGAGAUGCAACUGGUCGAGUGGCAAAAUGGGCGAUUGAACUCCUUCCCUUGGAUAUCAAGUUUGAGGCAAAGAAAGCUAUCAAGUACCAAGCAAUAGCAGAUUUCCUCGCCGAGUGGAUCGAACAACAACUGCCGACUCAAGUUCACUCGGAGCAUUGGACCAUGUUCUUUGAUGGUUCCAAGAUGCUGAAUGGUUCUGGUGCUGGGGUGGUACUAGUAUCCCCCCGAGGAGACAAGCUCAGAUAUGUCCCCCAGAUUCACUUUGAUUCUUCCAAUAACGAAGCAGAAUAUGAAGCACUCUUAUAUGGGUUGCGUAUGUCCAUUUCAUUCGGCGUCCGUUGCCUUAUGGUCUAUGGCGACUCAGAUUUGGUAGUCAAUCAAGUGAUGAAAGAGUGGGACGUCAGAAGCCCAGCCAUGACUGGUUACUGCAAUGCGGUGAGGAAGUUGGAAAAGAAGUUUGAGGGGUUAGAGCUCCAUCAUAUACCCCGACUGAAAAAUCGAGCAGCCGAUGAUUUGGCAAAGAUAGGUUCCAAGAGAGAAGCCAUUCCCAACAAUGUGUUUUUGGAGCACAUUCACACGCCGUCAGUUCAGGAAGAUCCUUUCACUGAAGAGCCCCCGCAGCCUAAGAGCGCCACUGAUCCGACUGAGGUCGAGGUCCCAGCCAUGGUCGACCUAAUCAUGGAGGUUUUGGUCAUCACUCCAGACUGGACAGUGCCAUACAUUGCGUACAUCCUUAGGAAGGAACUCCCAAAGGAUGAAGAAGAGGCUCGACAGAUCGUCCGUCGAUCCAAAGCCUUCACUAUGAUAAGAGGACAACUGUUCAGGGAAAGCGCGACUGGGGUCAGUCAGAAAUGCAUAACACCAGAAGAAGGUCGAAUGAUCCUCAACGACAUCCACUCGGGGACCUGUGGUCGCCAUGCGUCCUCUCGGGCCAUUGUGGCUAAAGCAUACCGAGCCGGAUUUUAUUGGCCACGAGCAAAUGAAAUGGCGAAAGAUAUAGUCGACAGAUGUGAAGGCUGGCAGUUUUACUCCAAUAUGUCUCACAAGCCAGUGUCAGCUCUGAAGACCAUUCCCCUCGUCUGGCCCUUUGCUGUUUGGGGAUUGGAUAUGGUUGGACCACUGAGAACUGGUAGGAGCGGCUUCACUCAUGUGCUUGUAGCAGUCGACAAGUUUACCAAAUGGAUUGAAGCUAAACCUAUCAAGAAUCUUGAAGCCAGCACUGCUGUCAGUUUCAUCAGAGAAUUGACACUCAGAUAUGGAGUUCCGCACAGCAUCAUCACUGACAACGGGUCGAACUUUGAUUCUGAUGAGUUUAGAGCUUUCUGCGCUUCUCAAGGCACACGAGUCGACUAUGCUUCAGUCGCUCACCCGCAGUCGAAUGGACAAGCAGAAAGAGCAAAUGGCCUAAUUCUCAAAGGACUGAAACCCCGACUGAUGUGUGAUCUCAAACACGCAGCAGGCGCCUGGGUCGAUGAACUUCCAUCAGUUCUUUGGGGUUUCAGGACAACUCCCAAUCGGUCGACUGGACAAACUCCUUUCUUUUUGGUCUAUGGAGCCGAAGUUGUUCUGCCAAGUGACCUGCUCCACAACGCACCCCGAUUCGAGCUCUUCUCUGAAGAGGAAGCAGAACAGGCCCGGCAGGAUUCAGUCGAUCUCUUAGAGGAGGAAAGAGAAAUGGCCUUGAUCCGGUCGACCAUUUAUCAGCAAGACUUGCGUCGAUUCCACGCCGGAAACAUGAGGGGUCGAGCCUUUCAAGAAGGAGACUUGGUUCUCCGAGUGCAUCAACAGAAGCCACACAAGCUUGCCACUGCUUGGGAAGGCCCCUUCAUUAUCACCAGAGUUCUCCACAAUGGAGCAUACCAUCUUUACAAUGUCGAGCAUCAGAAAGACGAGCCACGAGCUUGGAAUGCGGAGCAGCUCCGCCCCUUUUAUACUUAAGUACUCACUCGGAUGAGAUGUAAUAAGAAAGACCUUUGUAGUUUGUUUAUCAAAGUCAAGAGCUUUAUAAUCUUCCUAAACAACUGUUGUUGCUUUUGUUUGCGUUUGAAAUCCCCCAGUGGGUGACUUAGCUGCGAAUCCGUUUCGCCUAAGUUUGAAAAAUCCCACCGAGUGGUGAGCAAGCCUCUCACUCGGGGGCUUAGCUACGAAUCAGUUUCGCCUAAAUUUGAAAAAAUCCUACCGAGUGAUGAGCAAGCCUCUCACUCGGGGGCUUAGCUGCAGUCCAAUACUCGCCUAAGUUUGAAAAAAUCCUACCGAGUGAUGAGCAAGCCUCUCACUCGGGGGCUUAGCUGCAGUCCAGUACUCGCCUAAGUUUGAAAAAAUCCUACCGAGUGAUGAGCAAGCCUCUCACUUGGGGGCUUAGCUACAGUCCAGUACUCGCCUAAGUUUGAAAAAAUCCUACCGAGUGAUGAGCAAGCCUCUCACUUGAGGGCUUAGCUGCAGUCCAGUACUUGCCUAAGUUUGAAAAAUUCCUACCAAGUGGUGAGCAAGCCUCUCACUCGGGGGCUUAGCUGCAGUCCAGUACUCGCCUAAGUUUGAAAAAUCCUACCGAGUGGAGAGCAACCCUCCCACUCGGGGGCUUAGCUGCAGUCCAGUACUCGCCUAAGUUUGAAAAAUUCUACCGAGUGGAGAGCAACCCUCUCACUCGGGGGUUUAGCUGCAGUCCAGUACUCGCCUAAGUUUGAAAAAUCCUACCGAGUGGAGAGCAACCCUCCUACUCGGAGGCUUAGCUGCAGUCCAGUACUCGCCUAAGUGUGAAACACAUCCCUAUCCGCAAGGAAGACGAGGUGCAGGUCGACUGCAACCUUCUCCUUCAGAGCUGCACCACAAGUACAAUGUGCGCUCCAUCCCUAUCCGUAAGGACGACGAGUUGCAGGUCGACUGCAACCUUCUCCUUCGGAGCUACGCCACAAGUACAAUGUGCGCUCAAUCCCUAUCCGCAAGGACGAUGAGGUGCAGGUCGACUGCAACUUUCUCCUUCGGAGCUGCGCCACAAGUACAAUGUGCGCUCCAUGCCUAUUCGCAAGGACGACGAGGUGCAGGUCGACGACAACCUUCUCCUUUGGAGCUGCUCCACAAGUACAAUGUGCGCUCCAUCCCUAUCCGCAAGGACGACAAGGUGCAGGUCGACUGCAACGUUCUCCUUUGGAGCUACACCACAAGUACAAUGUUCGCUCCAUCCCUAUCCGCAAGGACGACGAGGUGCAGGUCGACUGGAGUCUCCACCUCAAAGCUGCAUCUCAAAUAUAGAAAUUAUUCCGAGUGAAGAACAAAUUCCACUCGAAGGCAAACGUAAGCAUAUUCGAAAAUAAAUCAAAUUCAGAUGAACCCUAAAAGUUCAAGACCGCGGAUCAAAGUACUCGGGCAUUCAGCCCAAAAGAGUUUAACGGUUACAAAAACCACUCAGCAUCCCGAAGAAAAUUUAAGGUGUAGCAUAAAAGUUUAUUCAGUCCGCAGGAGGAGGGCUGGCAGGCUCGAUGAACUCGUCUAGGUCAACACCAUCGGCGAUCCGAGUGGCGGCAGCAAUGAAAGUCUCCAUAAAGGAUCGAAAAUCAUGCCUCUUGGUGUUGGCGACCUUGAUCGCUGCCAGCUUAUCUUCUCGCGCUUCUUUGCAAUGGACACAAACCAAAGACAGAGCCACAUCAGCACCGCACCGGGCAGAAGACUUCUUCCACUCCUGCACUCGACCAGGGAUCUCGUUAAGUCGGGUCAUCAGAGACUCGAGGUCAUUCUGGAGCGUUGCCCUUGGCCAGAGUGUUGUGUCGAUCCGCGACAUGGCGACCUUCAGUCGAGCAAGGUAGUCAACAACACCGUCGAAGCGAGAUUCCAGUCGGAGCAAGUUCAUAGCAGCUUCAUCUUUCACGGGGGAGUUGAUGGGGUCCAAGCUUGCUUCAAUUCGCCCGGUAUCCUCCUCAAAGUCUCGGCAAAACUCUGCAUGCACAAUCCGAGGGUGACUCAAAAGUCGUAUGCCGAGUCGACGAAGAUAAACCAGUCGGAACAAAGUAUAUACCUUCAAGCUUGAUGAACAGCUUCUUGGCAAGGCUCCUCAGAUAACUUUCCAGAUUAUCCCUCCUGCGAGCAAUGCCUUCCAUCUUCUCGUUCAGAUUGACCUUGUCCUUCUUGAAGCGGGUUACUUCCUUGUUGGCUUCGUCCAGGGCAGAUUUUAUCUUGGCGUUCUCUUCCUCCAUUUGUCGGCUGAAGCCAACUUCUGUUCAGCUAGAGCAGUUUUGUCAUCAGCCUUCUUCUGUGCGGCAACCAUAUCUUGAUCCCUUUUUGCCAGAGCCUCGUUCAGUUUUUCUGAAAAGAAAUGAUGCUUGGUUUAGAAAGAGCAGAAUGAAAUUUAGAUCAAAGACAAACCAGUCAACAAGUCUGUCUUACCAUUGGCGUCAUCCUUGGCUUUCUGCAGUUCUGUCUUGGCCAACUUCAGGUCAAGGUUGAGUUGAAUCUGUUGUUUCUCCAAGUCAGCAAAGCGAGCUCCAAUAUCACAAGAUUUGUGCAAUCAAGGAAUGGGUCAGUCGACUCGAUAAAGGAUGGGUUGUUUCAGAGAGGUAAAAGGACAAAGACAAUAAAUUCUAAGACUACUGUCGAAUCAAACAUCCAACAGUAGUCUCGGGGACUACACCCAGUGGGUGCAUUUAGCGUGUCCCCACUAGUUCAGUUUACACUCGACAAGACCUUUCCAACGCAAGUGAAAAAAAAAGAAAGAGACAGCAACAAACAAACUCUUCAGACCAUAGUCGACUACCAGCAGUCGACCACGAUCUCGGGGACUACACCCAGUGGGUGCACUUAGCGUGCCCCCACUGGUUCAGUUUACACUCGACAUGGCCUGACCAGACCGAGUGAAGGAAUUCAAAAUUCAAGACUACAGUCGACUGCCCACAGUCCACCAUAGUCUCGGGGACUACACCCAGUGGGUGCACUCAGCGUGCCCCCACUAGUCCUAAAAUUCAAUCGACGACAACAAAAAGUUCAGUUCAAAGUAUGAAUCUGUUCAGCGACAAAUCGAAACACCCAGUAGGUGUACAGAUGCAAACAUCCUUGGAAAGAGAGUUUUUUAGGUACUGUAUCCUAGACAGAACAAGCCAAGAGAGUCAGUCGACAUUCUGCUAACCUGAACAUUACUCUAGAGAGCCGAGCUGGCAUCAUAAGCAGCCUGGCUGGCAUCCCGCACCAUCUUCAUCUUCUCCAUCAUAAUACUUGCUUGGCGUAUAGCUUCUUUGGCAGCAUUCACUUCGUCCUCUGGGACGUGAUGGGUGGCAAAAACUGAAGCUGGAUCGGCAGGAGCUUGAGCAGUCGACGCAGAAGGUAGAGCACUCGACAACGGUAUGGCGAAGGAAACAGAAGUCCGAUUGGCGUCACCGGCGUCCUGAAUGACUGGUUCCGCCACCGGCGUCGACUGAGGCGUCUUGCCAGCGGACGUUUUCCUGUUCCUCCUCGUCAAUGGCCUCUCUGGCUUGUCCUCAUCAUCGUCGGGGAGGUCAAUAACGUAGGGAGCUGUUAAAAGAUCAGUCGCCAAAAUUACAUCGCCCGAUUGGAUAUAUGACAGUUCAAUCGACCAAAACAAGACAGAAUGACGAAGAUCGUACCUAGACUAGAGACCGCAUCUUCCAUUUCAUCAUCCUCAUCCUUAUAAUCUGAAGUCCCAGAGGUAGCAGCACUGCCAGUUUCAAGAUUCAUUUGGUCAAAUCAAAGGAAAAAUAAACAGCACAGAGCGUCGAGUGAAUGCGAAAGAAAAAGACUCACGCAGAAGCAACAGGGAUAUCAAUCUUAAUCUUCGGCAACACCUUCCGAGGCUUCUGCACUACAACCUUGGACUGCUUUGGGGCUUUCUCAGUCGGUGCCGGAGAGGACGUCCGAGGACACUUUGAAGACUGGCCAGUCUGAGCGAUCUGCUUUUCACGGGCGCUCGCCCGGUCUUGGUCGAGCUUGGAUCGCCUCUCCCUGCGAGGAGGCGAGUCGACUUCUUCUUCAUCACUCGAGUCAUCACUCUCCUCGUUCCCCUCUCCGUCAGAAUGCCACUCGCCACAUUCGACUCUGCUUGCCUCCCCCUCCGGAUUUUACUCCUGCUCUCCGUUGGGCAUCGAGUACAUUUCGGUAAGGGCCUCGAAGAAAGCAAGCAGAACAAAGUCAGUCGACGAAGCAUAAACAGCUGCACAAUUAAAUCUAGAUUACAGUCAGAAGUUCAGAAUUAGACCUUAUCUGGUUCGUAAGACUGGUCAAGUGGAGGAAUUCUCCUGGCUCCCCUGGGGUUAUCUUUUUUUCCAGUGAUGCUCGUCAGCCACCCCUCCAACGUGGUCUUGUUGACCUCCUCCGGAUGGGUCCGAGUGGUGUCACCAGUACCCGAAUACAUCCACAUCGGAUGGUCUCGAGCUUGAAGCGGUUGGAUGCGUUGCCGGAGGAAUACCUCCAACAAAUCCAUAUCGGCCACCCCGUCACGGACGAUCUGAACUACUCGCUCGACCAGCACCUUAACUUGCGCCUUCUCCUCCGGGAUCACUUUCAAAGGGGAGGGCUUCCCCACUCGGGCCAUGGAAAAAGGAGGAAGUCCAGUCGACUGCCCUGGAGUCGGCUGGUCUUUGCAGUAAAACCAAGUCGACUGCCAUCCGCGGACCGAAUCGGGAAGAAUCAUGGCUGGAAAGGAACUUUUGCCUCUCAUAUGGACCCCAAGACCCCCGCACAUCUGAAUCACUUGUGUCCUCUCGUCACUCGGAUUGGCCUUUUUCACCGUCUGAGAGCGACAGGUGAAAAUGUGCUUGAAAAGGCCCCAAUGAGGUCGGCAGCCCAAGAAAUUCUCGCACAAAGACACAAAGGCAGCAAGGUACACGAUUGUGUUGGGAGUAAAGUGCUGGAGUUGCGCCCCAAAGAAAUUCAAGAAACCCCAAAAGAAGGUGUGGGGAGGCAAGGAAAACCCACGGUCGACGUGAGUGGCGAGGAGAACGCACUCACCCUCCCAAGGUUGCGGCUCAGUCUCGUUCCCCGGAAGCCGCGCCGAUUCGUGGGGGAUCAGUCCUUCCUCGACCAAGUCGUCGAUGUCGUCCUGACGAAUCACCGAGAGGAUCCAGUCUCCCUGGAUCCAGCCCUGCGGCAGGCCGGCCCUCGAGGAAGAUCCGCCCUGGCUGGACUUCUUCCCCUUCGCCUUUGAUGUCGCCUUCUUCGCCCGCUCCAGAGCCACCGUCUUCUCUUUCCCCAUUGUCGCAGGUGAAACGCGAAUGGAGCAAUGACACUGGGGCGAGAACAGGCAUGGCAGAGAAGUCUGAGGAGGAGGGGGAAGAAUGAAAACACACUGUUCAAAAACCCCGGCCUGGCUCCAUAUAUGAGGUUACUUCCGAGUGACUAACUUGUAGGCCCAGACGGUCUUAUCAAAUCCCGCAACAGUCACGCAUGCGAUACGUGGCGAAAAAGGCGGCACGGAAAUUGGGGCGGCCCUGCCUUAUCCCAUCUGAUUACUGCGGCCUCCUCUGCCCCACGCACUUCCCGAAAUUCGAAUCCCGCGAAAUCCGCAGACAGCAGAACAACUUGUCAGGCGGAAGAUCUCCUCCACAUCAUCACUCGGAGCUCUUCCAUUAAAAGAUCACUCGACAAAAACUAAGAAUGGAUCAAGGCGACUGAAAAAGAAGUUGAUGUCGUCACCUCGGUUCAUUGAUUCAGAACAAGAUAUACUCAUAGCACGAAAAAUGGGUCGGAAGUGUUCUCAACUCCUUCCUCACUCAAAGCCUGAUCCAUUCAGCGGCUAAUGAUGAAGUUAUGUACCUAGGGUAGGGUCAUGGACCUGUACAAGAUACCCUCCCCAAGGACAUCUCCAAAAGAACCAGAAACAUUCGAAGAAGAAUCAUCGUGCACUUGACCAUGAAGCUAUGUUCCACUCGACAGCAUUGAAGACACUUGACCACGUAGACAGUCACUCGACUACCGGGAGAUCUAAAGCCACUCUGCUCUACAACAGUCGGGAAUUAAGUCAUAGCUUUAAUGGUCAUUAUGUAUCUUUAUUACUGGCGUUACCAGUAACGCCCUCCUAUUAAUGUACAUUGAACCUUGUGUAAUGGAGGGGAGUUGGGGUCCUGGCGCACUCUAUAUAAGCCACCCCCUCCUCUGGAACAACGCACCCCCUGUAACUCACACGCUCAUAAUCCAGUCGACCGCCUCCGGGCUCCGAGACGUAGGGCUAUUACUUCCUCCGAGAAGGGCCUGAACUCGUAAAACUUGCGUGUACAACUCCUCCAUAGCUAGGAUCUUGCCUCUACAUUCCUACCCCCCAUUCUACUGUCAGACUUAGAACCACGACAGACAAUGCUCUACCCUCUCGUUGCUAUGCAUCACCAUGAUCUUGCGUGUUCGUAGGAAUUUUUUUAAAUUACUACGUUUCCCCAACAGUGGCAUCUGAGCCAGGUUUUAUGCGUAGAUGUCAUAUGCACGAGUAGAGCACAAGUGAGUUGUGGGCGAUAUAAGUCAUACUGCUUACCAGCAUGUCAUACUUUGGUUCGGCGAUAUUGUUGGAUGAAGCGGCCCGGACCGACAUUACGCAUACGCUUACGCGAGACUGGUUCUACCGACGUGCUUUGCACAUAGGUGGCUGUCGGGUGUCAGUUUCUCCAACUUUAGUUGAACCGAGUGUGGCUACGCCCGGUCCUUGCGAAGGUUAAAACAGCACCAACUUGACAAACUAUCGUUGUGGGUUUGAUGCGUAGAUAAGAACGGUUCUUGCUAAGCCCGUAGCAGCCACGUAAAACUUGCAACAACAAAGUAGAGGACGUCUAAGUUGUUUUUGCAGGGCAUGUUGUGAUGUGAUAUGGUCAAGACAUGAUGCUCAAUUUAUUGUAUGAGAUUAUCAUGUUUUGUAACCGAGUUAUCGGCAACUGGCAGCCAUAUGGUUGUCGCUUUAUUGUAUGCAAUGCAAUCGCCCUAUAAUGCUUUACUUUAUCACUAAGCGGUAGCGAUGGUCGUAGAAGCAUAAGAUUGGCGAGACGACAAUGAUGCUACGAUGGAGAUCAAGGUGUCGCGCCGGUGACGGUGGUGAUCAUGACGGUGCUUCGGAGAUGGAGAUCACAAGCACAACGAUGAUGAUGGCCAUAUCAUAUCACUUAUAUUAUGAUUGCAUGUGAUGUUUAUCUUUUAUACAUCUUAUUUUGCUUAGUUCGGUGGUAACUUUAUAAGAUGAUCUCUCACUAAAUUUCAAGGUAUAAGUGUUCUCCCUGAGUAUGCAUCGUUGCCAAAGUUCAUCGUGCCCAGACACCACGUGAUGAUCAGGUGUGAUAAGCUCUACGUCCAUCUACAACCGGUGCAAGCCAGUUUUGCACACGCAGAAUACUCAGGUUAAACUUGACGAGCCUAGCAUAUGCAGAUAUGGCCUCGGAACACUGAGACCGAAAGGUCGAGCGUGAAUCAUAUAGUAGAUAUGAUCAACAUAGUGAUAUUCACCAUUGAAAACUACUCCAUCUCACGUGAUGAUCGGUCAUGGUCUAGUUGAUUUGGAUUACGUGAUAAUUUAGAUGACUAGAGGGAUGUCUAUCUAAGUGGGAGUUCUUAAAUAAUAUGAUUAAUUGAACUUCAAUUUAUCAUGAACUUAAUCCUGGUCGUAUUAGCAUAUCUAUGUUGUAGCUCAAUAGCUCGCAAUGUUGCUCCUUGUUUAAUUUUUAUAUGUUCCUAGAGAAAACUAAGUUGAAAGAUGUUAGUAGCAAUGAUGCGGAUUGGAUCCGUGAUCUGAGGUUUAUCCUCAUUGCUGCACAGAAGAAUUAUGUCCUUGAUGCACCGCUAGGUGACAGACCUAUUACAGGAGCAUAUGCAGACGUUAUGAACGUUUUGACAAAAGCUCGGUAUGAUGACUGCUUGAUAGUUAAGUGCACCAUGCUUUACGGCUUAGAAUCGGGACUUCAAAGACGUUUUGAACGUCAUGGACCAUAUGAGAUGUUCCAGGAGUUGAAGUUAAUAUUUCAAGCAAAUACCCGAGUUGAGAGAUAUGAAGUCUCCAACAAGUUCUAUAGCUAAAAGAUGGAGGAGAAUAGCUCAAGCAGUCAGCAUGUGCUCAGAUUGUCUGGGUACUACAAUCGCUUGAAUCAAGUGGGAGUUAAUCUUCCAGAUAAAAUAGUGAUUGACAGAAUUCUCUAGUCACCAUCACCAAGUUAGUAGAACUUCGUGAUGAACUAUAGUAUGCAAGGGAUGACGAAAACAAUUCCCAAGCUCUUCGCAAUGCUAAAAUCAAGAAAAACAUCAAGUGUUGAUGGUUGACAAGACCACUAGUUUCAAGAAAAGGGCAAAGGGAAGAAGGGGAACUUCAAGAAGAACGACAAGCAAGUUGCUUCUCAAGUGAAGAAGCCCAAGUCUGGUCCUAAGCCUGAGACUAAGUGCUUCUACUGCAAAGGGACUGGUCACUGGAAGCGGAACUGCCCCAAGUAUUUGGCGUAUAAGAAGGAUGGCAAAAUGAACAAAGGUAUAUUGGAUAUACAUGUUAUUGAUGUGUACUUUACUACUGUUUAUAGCAACCCCUCGGCAUUUGAUAUUGGUUCAGUUGCUAAGAGUAGUAACUCGAAACGGGAGUUGCAGAAUAAACAGAAACUAGUGAAAGGCGAGGUGACGAUGUGUGUUGGAAGUAGUUCCAAGAUUGAUAUGAUCAUCAUCACACACUCCCCUAUACUUUUGGGAUUAGUGUUGAAACUAAAUAAGUGCUAUUUGGUGUUUGCGUUGAGCAUGAAUAUGAUUUGAUCAUGUUUGUUGCAAAAUGGUUAUUCAUUUAAAUUAGACAAUAAUUGUUGUUCUGUUUACAUGAAUAAAACCUUCUAUGGUCAUAUACCCAAUAAAAUGGUUUGUUGGAUCCCGAUCGUAGUGAUACACAUAUUCAUAAUAUUGAAGCCAAAAGAUGCAAAGUAAAUAAUGAUAGUGCAACUUAUUCGUGGCACUGCCGUUUAGGACAUAUUGGUGUAAAGCGCAUGAAGAAACUCCAUGCUAAUGGGAUUUUGGAAUCACUUGAUUAUGAAUCAAUUGAUGCUUGCGAACCAUGCCUUAUGGGCAAGAUGACUAAGACUCCGUUCUCCGGAACAAUGGAGCGAGCAACUGACUUAUUGGAAAUAAUACAUACUGAUGUAUGCGAUCCGAUGAAUACUGAGGCUCGCGGCGGGUAUCGUUAUUUUUGACCUUCAAAGAUGAUUUGAGCAGAUAUGGGUAUAUCUACUUGAUUAAACAUAAGUCUGAAAUAUUUCAAAAGUUCAUAUAAUUUCAGAGUGAAGUGGAAAAUCAUCGUAACAAGAAAAUAAAGUUUCUACGAUCUGAUCGUGGAGGAGAAUAUUUGAGUUACGAGUUUAGUCUUCAUUUGAAACAAUGCGGAAUAGUUUCGCAACUCACGCCAUCUGGAACACCACAGCAUAAUGGUGUGUCCCAAUGUCAUAAUCGUACUUUAUUGGAUAUAGUGCAUUAGAGACAGCUGCAUUCACAUAAAAAAGGGGCACUAUCUAAAUUCGUUUGAGACGACUCCAUAUGAAUUGUGGUUUGGCAAGAAACCAAAGUUGUCGUUUGUUAAAAGUUUGGGAUUGCGAUGCUUAUAAGAAAAAGUUUCAACCUGAUAAGCUCAAACUCAAAUAGGAGAAAUGUGUCUUCAUAGGAUACCCAAAGAAGACAGUUGGGUACACCUUCAAUCACAAAUCCGAAGGCAAGAUAUUCGUUGCUAAGAAUGGAUCCUUUCUAGAGAAGGAGUUUCUCUCGAAAGAAGUGAGUAGGAGGAAAGUAGAACUUGAUGAGGUAACUGUACCUGCUCCCUUAUUGGAAAGUAGUUCAUCACAGAAAUCUGUUCAUUAGUGAGGAAGCUAAUGAUGAUUAUCAUGUAACUUCAAAUCAAGUUACUACCGAACCUCGUAGGUAAACCAGAGUGAGAUCUGCACCAGAGUGGUACGGUAAUCCUGUUCUGGAGGCCAUGUUACUUGACCAUGAUGAACCUACGAACUAUGAGGAAGCGAUGAUGAGCCUAGAUUUUGCGAAAUGGCUUGAGGCCAUGAAAUCUGAGAUGAGAUCCAUGUAUGAGAUGAGCCAUUGAGAUUAAAUGGAUCUUCAAGAGGAAGACGGACACUGAUAGUAGUGUUACUAUCUACAAAGCUAGAAUUGUCGCAAAAGGUUUUCGACAAGUUCAAGGUGUUCAUUACGAUGAGAGUUUCUCACCCGUAUCUAUGCUUAAGUCUGUCUGAAUCAUGUUAGCAAUUGCCGCAUUUUAUGAAAUCUGGCAAAUGGAUAAACAAAAUUGCAUUCCUUAAUGGAUUUAUUAAAGAAGAGUUGUAUAUGAUGCAACCAGAAGGUUUUGCCAAUCCUAAAGGUAUUAACAAAUUAUGCAAGCUCCGGCGAUCCAUCUAUGGACUGGUGCAAGCAUCUCGGAGUUGGAAUAUACGCUUUGAUAAGUUGAUCAAAGCAUAUAGUUUUAUACAGACUUGCGGUGAAGCCUGUAUUUACAAGAAAGUGAGUGGGAGCACUACAACAUUUAUGAUAAGUAUAUGUAAAUGACAUAUUGUUGAUCAGAAAUAAUGUAGAAUUAUUCUGCAAAGCAUAAAGGAGUGUUUGAAAGGAGUUUUUCAAAGAAAAACCUCGGUGAAGCUUCUUACAUAUUGAGCACCAAGAUCUAUAGAGAUAGAUCAAGACGCUUGAUAAAUUUUUUUUCAAUGAGUGCAUACCUUGACAAGAUUUUGAAGUAGUUCAAAAUGGAACAGUCAAAGAAAGAGUUCUUGUCUUUGUUACAAGGUGAGAAAUUGAGUAAGACACAAAGCCCGACCACGGCAGAAGAUAGAAAGAGAAUGAAAGUCAUUCCCUUUGCCUCAGCCAUAGGUUCUACAAAGUAUGCCAUGAUGUGUACCAGAUCUAUUGUAUACCCUACCACUGAGUUUGGCAAGGGAGUACAAUAGUGAUCUAGGAGUAGAUCACUGGACAGCAGUCAAAAUUAUCCUUAGUGGAAUAAGGAUAUGUUUCUCGAUUAUGGAAGUGACAAAAGGUUCAUCGUAAAGGGUUACGUCGAUGCAAGUUUUUGACACUGAUCUAGAUGACUCUAAGUCUCAAUCUGGAUACAUAUUGAAAGUGGGAGCUAUUAGCUAGAGUAGCUCCAUGCAGAGCAUUGUAGACAUAGAAUUUGUAGAAUACUUAUGGAUCUGAUUAUGACAGACCCAUUGACUAAAAUUAUCUCACAAGCAAAACAUGAUCACACCUUAGUACUCUUUGGGUGUUAGUCAGAUAGUGAUGUGAACUAGAUUAUUGACUCUAGUAAACCCUUUGGGUGUUGGUCACAUGAGGAUGUGAACUAUGGGUGUUAAUCACAUGGUGAUGUGAAUUAUUGGUGUUAAAUCACAUGGCGAUGUGAGCUAGAUUAUUGACUCUAGUGCAACUGGGAAACUAAAGAAAAUAUGCCCUAGAGGCAAUAAUAAAGUUAUUAUUUAUUUCCUUAUUUCAUGAUAAAUGUUUAUUAUUCAUGCUAGAAUUGUAUUAACCAGAAACAUAAUACAUGUGUGAGUACAUAGACAAACAGAGUGUCACUAAUAUGCAUGUACUUGACUAGCUCGUUGAUCAAAAAUGGUUAUGUUUCCUAGCCAUAGACAUGAGUUGUUAUUUGAUUAAUGGGGUCACAUCAUUAGGAGAAUGAUGUGAUUGACUUGACCCAUUCUGUUAGCUUAGCACUUGAUCGUUUAGUAUGUUGCUAUUGCUUUCUUCAUGACUUAUACAUGUUCCUAUGACUAUGAGAUUAUGCAACUCCCGUUUACCGGGGGAACACUUUGUGUGCUACCAAACGUCACAACGUAACUGGGUGAUUAUAAAGGUGCUCUACAGAUGUCUCCGAAGGUACUUGUUGGGUUGGCGUAUUUCGAGAUUAGGAUUUGUCACUCCGAUUGUCAGAGAGGUAUCUCUGGGCCCACUCGGUAAUGCACAUCACUAUAAGCCUUGCAAGCAUUGCAACUAAUGAGUUAGUUGUGGGAUGAUGUAUUACGGAACGAGUAAAGAGACUUGCCGGUAACGAGAUUGAACUAGGUAUUGAGAUACCGACGAUCGAAUCUCGGGCAAGUAACGUACCAAUGACAAAGGGAAUAAUGUAUGUUGUUAUGCGGUCUGACUGAUAAAGAUCUUCGUAGAAUAUGUGGGAGCCAAUAUGAGCAUCCAGGUUCCGCUAUUGGUUAUUGACCGGAGACGUGUCUCGGUCAUGUCUACAUAGUUCUCGAACCCGUAGGGUCCGCACGCUUAACGUUUUGAUGACAGUUGUAUUACGAGUUUAUGUGUUUUGAUGUACCGAAGGUAGUUCGGAGUCCCGGAUGAGAUCGGGGACAUGACGAGGAGUCUCGAAAUGGUCGAGACGUAAAGAUCGAUAUAUUGGACGACUAUAUUCGGACAUCGGAAAGGUUCCGAAUGAUUCGGGUAUUUUCAGGGGUACCGGAGAGUUACGGGGAAUUCGUAUUGGGCCUUAAUGGGCCAUACGGGAAAGGAGAAAAAGGCCUCAAAGGGUGGCCGCACCCCUCCCCAUGGAUUGGUCCGAAUUGUACUAGGGAGGGGGGCGCCCCCUUCCUUCCUUCUCCUUUUUCCUUCCCUUCUCCUACUCCAACAAGGAAAGGAGGAAUCCUACUCCCGAUAGGAGUAGGACUCCCCCCUUGGCGCACCCUCCUUGGCCGGCCGCCUCUCCCCCUUGCUCCUUUAUAUACGAGGCAGGGGGGCACCUCUAGAGACACAACAAUUGACCGUUUGAUCUUUUAGCCGUGUUGGGUGCCCCCCUCCACCAUAGUCCACCUCGAUAAUACUGUAGCGGUGCUUAGGCGAAGUCCUGCGUUGGUAGAACAUCAUCAUCGUCACCACGCCGUCGUGCUGACGAAACUCUCCCUCAACACUCGGCUGGAUCGGAGUUCGAGGGACGUCAUCGGGCUGAACGUGUGCUGAACUCGGAUGUGCCGUGCGUUCGGUACUUGAUCGGUCGGAUCGUGAAGAUGUACGACUACGUCAACCGUGUUGUGCUAACGCUUCCGCUUUCAGUCUAUGAGGGUACGUGGACAACACUCUCCCCUCUCGUUGCUAUGCAUCACCAUGAUCUUGCAUGUGCGUAGGAAUUUUUUUUAAAUUACUACGUUCCCCAACAUGAACGACAUCCUCGACGCGGUCGUUGCAGCGGUGCGCCUUGGGCUGCCGCUUGUCCCCCUCCGGCAAACCCCACGAGCUCUCCCACCUCGGCACCGGCCUCUACUCGCUCUCGCUCAUCCUCCUCCUCCCCUACCAACACCAACACCGCUCUUCCCUGUCCACUCCAAGAAAAGGACCAAAAUGGCGGCUCAAAUCCAAUCCACACAAGAAUCCUACUCGGCACCAUCGACGGAGAGAUCAGAGCAGGCCGACACACCUCGCAACCACCGCUCCUCCCCUACGCGCGCCGGCGAUGAGAGAUCCCGAGAUCGAGACGACGGCGGCUGCUUCACUUCCCCGACCAUGGUGGUGCGCUAAAGGAGGCUCCUCCAAGGCGACCAUCGAGAAGACGAGUUGAGGGAGGUGGAAGGCGGGUGAGGCCGCCGGCGUCCCUGUCGCCGUCAUUUGGGGGGCAGAGGAGGCAUCGGCGGCGGGAUUGGGAGGAGGAGCAGCGAGGAGAAGAUUAGGUGGGGCGUGGGAGGGAGAGGGGAGAGAACUCACCGCUUAGUCGCGGUGUGGUGCGACUAAGUGGCAGGGCAUGUCGAUUAGUUGUAGCGCGGAGGCACGGGUGCGGCACUGCUGCUAAGUGAGGCACAUCGACUAACCCCGUCUAUUCAUAUUACUAGCGUCGGAUGGCACACCGCGCUACUACUAUCCACUUAGUAGUAGCGCGGCUUUUAUGCACCACACUACUACUAUAGUCUGUCACCUGGGCAUGGUGAGAACCACUUAGUAGUAGCGUGCCCAAAAAAAGCAACGCUGCUGCUAAGCCAUACCAGUAGCGCGUUUUGUACCCAGCGCUACUGGUAAUUACCAAUAGCGUGGGAACACGAACAAAUGCUACUGGUAAACUUCUAUGUAUAAGCAUUUUUCUAGUAGUGUAUUUUUCACAACAAAAUUCAUUACUCAAAUCUAACACCAGAAUCGCUAUAAGAAUGUGGUUCGUCACAAUGGUUUCCAAUAACAAAAUGAACCUUCUUUACGUGAUGCCACUAGUGCAGAACCAGGCUAUAGCACCGGUCGUAAGGCCCUUUAGUGCCAGUUCUGUAACCGUUACAACACGAACAUCCGCUAAAGGGCCACCACGUGGCACGAGCCAGCGCCGGGGGCGGGGAGACCUUUAGUACCGGUUGGUAACACCAACCGGUACAAAAAGGUUUUGGGUUCAUGAUUUCUUUUUCCUUUAAUUUUGUGUUUUCCAUUUAAUUUUUUUUAAUUUGCUGGUAUUUUACGAUACUACAUAUUCUACAUGUUAUGCAUAUAUAUAAAUAGAAUUUCUCAAUAGAAUUUCUCAUAGAACCGAUCAUAUAUAUGGUAUGUAUGUAUGUAUGUAUGUAUGUAUGUAUGUAUGUAUGUAUGUAUGUAUGUAUGUAUGUAUGUAUAUAUCAUCGAAUGUCUCACAACCACCAUUCACACAUACACAUGUAUAUAUAUACAAUUAGGUAUAUACAAUUUCUCCUACAUGUUUCCUUCGGAGCCAGUGGCAUUUGCCUUGGUGCCUUCGGAGCACGAUGACAAUUGGGAGUGGUUCAUGGGGCAUGUGGCAUUUGCCUUGGUUCCUGCGGUAGCGGCGGUAGCGGGUAAUGAUAUUCUCCUUUGGGAUCUAUGAUCUGGUCGAGCAAAAAUCCCACUAUUUCUUCUUGAAGUGCUCGUAUGCGCUCCGUUGAUAGGAGCUUAUCCCGCACCUCAUUGAACUUUUAAGAAGGGGAUCAAUAUGCAUGUAUUAGUUGUGUGAUUAGAUAUCGAUAAUGAUAUAAAAAUUAUGAAUAGUGUUCUGGCAAACGUACCCAUAGUUGUCUAUCAUCUUUGGUCCUUUCGGAUGCCGUCAUGCGAAUAUUCUCGCAAAUGUAGUAUGCAUAUAAAUCAGUCUCCGGCGCCUGCUUCAUGACCUUUACGAGAAUAUAGAAUUCAAUCAGAUAAGAAUUAAUAAAGCAUGAUAAUUAAUGGUAUUGAAACUAGAAUUAAAGAGAUGGUAGAUAGCUAGCUAGUACUACUUAAUUACUUACCUUGGGUCGAAACCAAUAUAACUUUUCUUUCCAUUCGCUUGGAACCGUUUUGAUGUACUUUUGUCAAGCCCUGCCUGCCGGCAAAGAAAAUGAAUAAAGAAGUUAGUAAUUAGUUGAUAUCAGGAAAUGACGAACUAAAGAGGCCGACAUAUAGUUCAAUAAUGAUUGAAUUACCUGUUGACUAUCCCCUUCACGAUUGAGUAGUCUUUAGGUUCUUUAAGCAGUGAGUCCAGUACUUCAACUGUUCCUUCUUUAACUUAAAUGAUUAACAAGAUCCAGUGGUACCUGCAUGCGCAUACGUUUGCAUGUAUGAAUUAAGCGAGCAUGUGCAUAACUCUCAUCAGUUACCCUAAACCCUAUACACUUAUUAACAUCUAGCUAGUAAGCAAAAACGGAAUUUGUAGUACAAGACAGUGUGACUCACUGGAAAUUGUAAGGAAGUAGUAUAUCUCGAUUGGUAUUGAGACGCUUCAAGAACUCUAGCAUGUUUUUCUCUACUUCUUGUUUGUAAUAGACAGUCGGGAAAUCGUCAUACUAAGACCUCAUAGGACUAGAGCGGCAGAAUAGCAACCACCAUCGAUGAAGAGUAGUGUAGAUCGGAAGGAUACAAUCUGAAGACACACGAAGUAGACAAACGAUGACCAGAUCCAAGCAAAUCCACCAAAGACGGAUCCAUCAAAGACAAACAUCGACAUGCCACCGACGAUGCUAGGCGCACCACCGGGACGGGAGGUAGGCAGGGAUAACUUUAUUCCAUCUCUAGGGAGCUGCCAUCGUCUCGCAUUCCUUAGAAGGAUGCAAAACCUAACAAAAAUUAAAGAAACUGCUAAAACGGAACCCUUCCACCGGCAAGGGCCAGCAUCCACCACGCCUACAUAACACAGCCGAAAUAACAGCUUGAUCAAAUAUGUGUGGUGAAAUUCUUCGGUGGAGUAAAUCAGUUUGGAUUCAGCAAGACAUUUCUUGAUAAAAUAUUGAAGCUGAAAAGGAAACAUGGCAAAAUCAUAUGGCUUAGCUUCGACCCACUUUCCAUCCCACGAGAUGAUUGGCAUGUCUCUUUCUUUAGCACGAGAAGCUUGCCUGCCAAGGAAGCUAGUAGUAGCUCAUUCCAUUGCUGAGUCACCUGUCAACGCUAUCCCAAAAUCAGACGGGUCAAGGAAAAUUCAACAGGGCGACGGUGUACACCAAGUACCAUGAGAGCCACAUACACUAUGGCUGACAGGUGGACCAGGAGAGUCCGCAAGCCCACCCGUCAGGCACUCGCUGCCGCAGCGCGCGCCUACGCGUGGUUGUACGCGAGCGUCACUGUCGUAGGAAGGCUCGUGUGCGGGUACAGAUGACCACAUGCUCGAAUUAGAGAAGUUUGGAGCGCCCUGCUCGCACCGCAUCCUCUAACAUUGAGAAGGAAAGUUAGAGAAGCUAUAAUACUCUAACUUUCCUUCUUUCUUUCAUAUGAUUAUGACUAAAACAAUUUAAAUUAAUUUAUAAAUUGAUGAUCUAUCAUGUACAUUUAUAAUAAUUACAUACAAACAAAUUGAUGGUGAAAUAAAAUUAAUUUUAAAUUAUUUAUAUCUACAAUAAAUAUCAAUAGUAAACAACCUACUAACUAUCUGCUAACAGUUCCUAACUUUUCUUUUUCAUUUUACACUAGGCAAACAGUGUAGCACUGUGACUUUCCUUCAUAAUGUUAGAGGAUCCGGUCACCUCCCUCUAUAAAAAUGUCUCCAGGGCUCCCCUGCUUUUCCUACAGAAACACAUAAGCACACACUGACACACGAUCAGUAGCAGAGAAGACCUGAGUUUUCUCUAAGCUUGGAGAGCAGAGGAAAGAAAGAAAGAAAGAGAGGGACGGGGAAAUUUUAGUGGUGUAGAAGCUUAGCAGAGCAUCAAUGGGGUUUUGCUGUGGGUGUUCGGAUGUCAAGGUGCUCCCCAAGAACAACUCCUUGGCUUCCUCGCCCUCGCCGUCCGCUAAAGAUUCCAGCGAUGGCGCCAAGAAGAAGCAGCCUCAAGCCGUAAAGAAGGAAGGGAAAGAGAAGAAAAGGAGCAACCUUGACCGGGCCGCCAUGGCGUCGCCCCGCCUCCCCUUCCAUUCUCGACCCGGCCUAAUGUAAUAGAGUUUGCAGAUUUUCAGAACAAUAGUGCAUACAACAUACAAUCCUGUAGGUUCUCUUAUUAGCUUACGCCCGGGUUUGCCUCGGUUGUUCCGCUGAAGAUUUCAUUUGUACUGUGUCCACGUGUACUGUUUUAUUCAUGGACGGUCGGUUGAUCCAAUUGCUGGUGUUCUUGUCAACUUACUAGUAGACAUUACAUUCAUUGUCAUCAUGAUAAUAUUUGUUUCCCUACUUUUAUCUUGGAUUGUUAUUCCUCUGGCUUGACUGAACUUACUAGCUUGGGUGAACAAAGACAUGAUCUUUCAUGUCUUCCCUCCCUGCGGAAUGUGGAUGUGUGAUGCAGAACUAAGUAAAAUAAAAAGAGAAUUUUCAUCCAAUAGAUAAAGACAUGUCAAAAUGAAAGUACUUUACUUAGGAAAGUGUGUUGACAUAACUAAAGGAUUCUGCUUCAUCAAGGCAAACCCAACAAAGGAUUGGUUCAUGAUUUUCGUUAACUGAAUUGCACAUUUUAAUCCUAGUUUCUAUGUAUGUAAUAAUGCUUACCCCAUUCAAAUAUUUCCGCAACAUUUUACCUUGGAGUUAUUACAUUGUGUCAAGUUUAACCAUAAUGGCUUGCCACUAGUUCUGACUAGAUUGGCUGCACUUGUCAUGCCGAUGUGGCUGGUUACCGGUACUCCAACUAGAUAGCAUAGACCAGCGCGGUUCGUCUCCCUACCUGCGCAACCCAGUCACGUUUGAGAUAUUUUUCGACAAAAAGAUGUUUUUUAUUGACUUAAAAUCAAGCAUCGAGCGAUAUAAUUAUAGUGAGUACACACCCGACCUCUGCAUAACUAGGAUGCACACAGCCAAAACUAACGCGCACACACACACACACACAAGCACACGCGCGCGCGCAAAGUAUCACGUCGGCAAAUAGCAAACUCAUUCGAAGACCGAAGCUAUGUCUAGUCGAAGGGGAAAAAGAAAAAAAACAAAAGCGAUGAAAAUAACGAUUGACGACAUACGGCAGUGACCAUUGGCACCAAUCAUGUCUUGAUAGCACAAGGACUACGAAGAAGGUUCUUUAAAAGCGACGUCUUCAAGAAGAGAACGAUCUGCAAGCGCCGCCAUCGCCCAAUCCUACCAUCGAAGGUCAGAUCAUGGGUUUGCACCUUGAAGAUCAAGUCCGAGGAAACUCCGAGCAGUUCCUUCAUCAAGGAUACGACGCAGAGAACACCGCCAUUGCCAGGUAUAACCAAAGGGUCAUACCCAGUGGCGUAGCUAGGCCCCAGGCUACUAGGGCCAUGGCCCGGGGCGUGGCCGCAUGCUGCUGUGUUUACUGUACAAAAAAUACCACUAUUUGGUACUGUUCAUUACUGUUGCAACGAGGUUAGCCCGGGGCAUGGCUGUAACUUGGGUACGUCACUGGUCAUACCUAGGGUUUUCACCCCGGAGCUCGAGACCACCAAACGAAGUCAUCCUAUGAUGUUUCCUUCACUUGCCACAAUCCAAGCAGCAGUAUACACGCACGGUCCUGAUGGCUAUAUGCAUGCAUAAAUGAGGUCUUAAAAAGAAAUGCUCAAAAACUGGCCGGAUACGUCCAUGGAUGUUUGAGGAGCCAAAUUUAAGCUGGGCGGCUGUAGAUGCCCUAACAUAUCUCUAUACAAAAGAUGUGGCACAUGAAACAUGGAAAAAUCAAACGGCUUCCACCCACUUUCCAUUACAGGAGAUGAUUGGCAGCUCUUCAAUCUACUCUACACGAAUAAGUCAUUUUCCCCUAGAAAAUAGAGAAAAAAAGUCGCUAUCUCGAAGACCUUGUCAGCCAAGUAACCUCCCCUCUACGCUGGGUCACUGGUCAAUGUUGCAUGACCAGCAGUGUCCUAUCAGCAAGGCCAAGGAAAAUUCAAGAGGCCACGAUACACAACCAGUACCACCCACGCCACAUACACUACAGAGUAACAGGUGGGCCAUAAGAGCCCUGGCACCCACCCGUCAGGUACUUGCUGCCACAUGGCGCGCGUAUCUGUUGUACGUUACACGUACGUGCGUAACUGUCAAUGGAAGCGCAUAUCGUUGUCGUUGCGACGGGUGCAGCACAGUUGACCAUGUGCUCGAAUGUGAGUGGUAGUGAACCUUCCGAUGCCUGCUCAGAGUUUUGAGUAGCGGACCUUCGGAUGGAAGUUUGGAUCGCCAUGCUCUCCUCCCCUAUAAAAAGGUCGCCGGGAGCCCUGCUUUUCCAACAGAGUGAGUGGUAGUGAAACAUACACACCGGAUCACGGAUCAGCAGCGGAGAAAAGCUGAGUUUUACGUGAGCUGAAGAAACCUUGAUCAGAGUGAGCUGAGAGAGCAGAGGGAAGAAAGGAAGAAGGGGAAAAGAUAGUGCAGCAGUAGCUUUAGCAGGGCAGCCAUGGGAUUCUGUCGUG
This 42732-nucleotide long non-coding RNA is filed under the name Triticum aestivum (bread wheat). Its description in RNAcentral is "long non-coding RNA (TAES_LNC026451)". The record is from RNAcentral. Lineage: Eukaryota; Viridiplantae; Streptophyta; Magnoliopsida; Poales; Poaceae.